Aquila chrysaetos chrysaetos is the source of this 141-nucleotide long non-coding RNA. RefSeq lists it as uncharacterized. NCBI's taxonomy places the organism in Eukaryota, Metazoa, Chordata, Aves, Accipitriformes, Accipitridae. The record is from RefSeq and is a predicted model, not a curated record. The transcript is spliced from 2 exons.
CUGGGACAACACAGAAAGAGAAGUUACAACAACAAGAAGUUACAACAACGGUACUAAUAAAAGAAUAUACAAAAUGAGUGAUGCAUAGUGCAACUGCUCACCGCCUGGAACCCGAUGCUCCGCUACUUCCCCCACCGAAAA